GGGAACGUGCCUUUUGGUUCGGAAUAGCUCCUGGAAACGGGUGGUAAUGCCGAAUGUGCCCUUUGGGGGAAAGAUUUAUCGCCAUUAGAGCGGCCCGCGUCUGAUUAGCUAGUUGGUGAGGUAAAGGCUCACCAAGGCGACGAUCAGUAGCUGGUCUGAGAGGAUGACCAGCCACAUUGGGACUGAGACACGGCCCAAACUCCUACGGGAGGCAGCAGUGGGGAAUCUUGCGCAAUGGGCGAAAGCCUGACGCAGCCAUGCCGCGUGAAUGAUGAAGGUCUUAGGAUUGUAAAAUUCUUUCACCGGGGACGAUAAUGACGGUACCCGGAGAAGAAGCCCCGGCUAACUUCGUGCCAGCAGCCGCGGUAAUACGAAGGGGGCUAGCGUUGCUCGGAAUUACUGGGCGUAAAGGGAGCGUAGGCGGACAUUUAAGUCAGGGGUGAAAUCCCAGAGCUCAACUCUGGAACUGCCUUUGAUACUGGGUGUCUUGAGUGUGAUAGAGGUAAGUGGAACUCCGAGU
This 520-nucleotide ribosomal RNA is filed under the name uncultured bacterium. RNAcentral's name for it is "bacterial SSU rRNA". It matches the Rfam family "Bacterial small subunit ribosomal RNA", at positions 120 to 674 of the family's 1533-position model. The record is from RNAcentral.